AGAGUUUGAUUCUGGCUCAGAACGAACGCUGGCGGCGCGCCUAAUACAUGCAAGUCGAGCGAGAAGGUGUAGCAAUACACUUGUAAAGCGGCGAACGGGUGAGGAAUACAUGGGUAAUCUACCAUCGAGUGGGGAAUAACCAACCGAAAGGUUGGCUAAUACCGCGUACGCUUCUGAGCCUUCGGGUUCGGAAGGAAAGCCGUACUGUGAGUGCGGCGCUCUUUGAUGAGCUCAUGUCCUAUCAGCUUGUUGGUAGGGUAACGGCCUACCAAGGCUUUGACGGGUAGCUGGUCUGAGAGGACGAUCAGCCACACUGGCACUGCGACACGGGCCAGACUCCUACGGGAGGCAGCAGUAAGGAAUAUUGCGCAAUGGGCGAAAGCCUGACGCAGCGACGCCGCGUGGGGGAUGAAGGUCUUCGGAUUGUAAACCCCUUUCGGGAGGGAAGAUGGAGCGAGCAAUCGUUCGGACGGUACCUCCAGAAGCAGCCACGGCCAACUUCGUGCCAGCAGCCGCGGUAAUACGAAGGUGGCAAGCGUUGUUCGGAUUCACUGGGCGUACAGGGUGUGUAGGCGGUUUGGUAAGCCUUCUGUUAAAGCUUCGGGCCCAACCCGGAAAGCGCAGAGGGUACUGCCAGGCUAGAGGGUGGGAGAGGAGCGCGGAAUUCCCGGUGUAGCGGUGAAAUGCGUAGAGAUCGGGAGGAAGGCCGGUGGCGAAGGCGGCGCUCUGGAACAUACCUGACGCUGAGACACGAAAGCGUGGGGAGCAAACAGGAUUAGAUACCCUGGUAGUCCACGCCCUAAACUAUGGAUACUAAGUGUCGGCGGGUUACCGCCGGUGCCGCAGCUAACGCAUUAAGUAUCCCGCCUGGGAAGUACGGCCGCAAGGUUGAAACUCAAAUGAAUUGACGG
Molecule: ribosomal RNA, 911 nt
Filed under: uncultured bacterium
Lineage: Bacteria
Description: bacterial SSU rRNA
Rfam family: Bacterial small subunit ribosomal RNA
Source: RNAcentral